Long non-coding RNA from Amphiprion ocellaris (clown anemonefish), 1967 nucleotides. RefSeq lists it as uncharacterized. The record is from RefSeq and is a predicted model, not a curated record. The transcript is spliced from 3 exons. NCBI's taxonomy places the organism in Eukaryota, Metazoa, Chordata, Actinopteri, Pomacentridae.
GGUCCACCUUCACCUUCUCGCCGCUGCUCAGCAUCCCCACGGUGGGGUAGAGGCCUCCGGGGGGGACGGCCAUCUCCCUGCGGCCCAUCAGCUUCCCAUUCCUGGUGAAAAACACCUGCAGGACCACAGGGGGGCGACAUCUUCCUCACCGUGACCUUCCUGCCCUCCUGUUCCUGCUCUACCUCUUCCGCGUCCUCCUCUUCCUCCUCCUCCUCCUCUUCGUCGUUGAGGUACAGAACAUUCUGGAUGGCUGCGUGAGCCGGGCGGACCUCCAGCCGGUCCCAGUCGUCCACGUCGCCUGAGGACAAAGCACAGCACGGCGGUGCUGAGGAAGGGCUUUUACCUGAAAGAGCAGACUGUGCUGGAGUUGUCGCUGUGCCACGCGACUGCUCGCUGAUAAAAUGUCAGAUCAGGAUGUAGUCUCGUGGGAACAUGAUGCCGCAGCCCAUGAUGUCACCUUUGAAGCAGCGAGGACCGAAAGCAUCUCCAACCCCACUGCCAUGAAAGAUCUUCCCGUCGUCUGUUGGAGAGAAAGAGCAAGAAAUGAAACCCAAGCAUGAACUAAAAAAAUGUCUUUUAUGCAGUAGGAACAGCUAGAAUUCCAUAAGUCAAAGUAAAAUGAAAAACGAAACCUGAAUUUUUGUAUUUACAUUACAAAAAUUUAAAUAAACUGGAUUUAGUCAGUACAACAGUUUUCCAAGUGGUCACAGGUGUGACCAGUGUUGGGAGGAAAAUGAAGGCUCCAAAUACUUCAAAUAUUUACCUGUUUCCAUUUUUACAAUCUGUGCAAACUAAACAUUUUUAACUCAAGAAGGAUGUUUCACCAUGCUUGAUGUAUCGUCAAGUUGCUCCUCUGUUUACCAUUUUUGAGCCAUGCCACAUUUAAAACACGCUUAUUUGUUAGGUCAAAUAUGUGUUAUUUUCCCCUCAGUUAUAAAUCAUAAAAAGAAAAAUUAUAUCCAUCCAUCCAUUAUCUAUACACUGCUUAAUCUUCAUUAGGACUGAAGGAGGAAGCCGCAGUACCCAGAAAAAAACCCAUGCAUGCACAGGGAGACCAUGCAAACUCCAUGCAGAAAGAUCCCGGGAAAACCAUGACGUGAACCGGGGAUCUUCUAGCUGCAAGGCUAAAGUGCUAACCCAACGCCACUGUGCAGCCCCGAAAAGUUAUAUAUCUUUGAAUAUUUAUCUUACAAAAAAGGAAAACAAACAAACUGAGAUCAACAGAUGCAACAUUUUAUUCAAGUGCCCCCAGAUGUUUCCAAUAUUGGGGAUAAAAAUAAAUCUCAAAAUUACCUAUUUGCAUUUUUACAACCUCUAUAAGCUACACAUUUUUAUUCUAGAAAGAUGCUUCACCAUGAUGAAUGUAUCUUCCAACAACUUGUUCCUCUGUUUACUGUUUUUGAGCCUUGCCACAUUUAAAACAUAUUUGAUGCUUUGAUCAAAUAGGUUUUAUUUCCCUCUCAGUGUCUCUAAUUCGUUUCCAUACUUGUUACCUCUCUGCUCUAUGUAUACACUGCCUGCAGUUCAGCUGAAUGGUCACAGAAAUUUUGUCAGCUGAUUAAAUCAUGAUCUUUUGGUUGCAUUAAAUAGAGCAUAAUCAUGGCUAAUAAACAAAAGUUACAUUUCUUUGAGUAUUUAUUUUCUACAAAUAAUGAAAAAAAAAGAAUCACCAUGUAUAACAUUUUUCCAACACUGUAAACGUUCUACUAAUUUUCCAACCUCAAACUACCCUGAACAUUAACUCUGUAAUGAUGUUUCACUGUGUUGAAUGUAUCUUCCAACAGUUUGUUCCUCUGUGCUAUUUUUAAACCAAACAAAAAUUAUUCUGUUGAUCAAUUUUGCUUUAUUUUGCUCUAAAUUGUCUUGUUUUAAACACUAUCUGGCGCAAACUGCUUAUUUCUGACUCAUUUUUGAAACUAAACAUGUAGAAUAAAGUGUUUUUUGAAUUAAAUAACACAAAAUUUUAA